CCGUGAUGAAGUCGGGGGGUAGAGCGGGAUACACGGAAGGACCAAAGAAUAUGAGCUCUUGAAGCUGGUCGGAUUGGUAACGUACAUCCAAAUCCAACCCAGCAGCUCUCCCAGCAAGUGCGGCAUUGUCAUCUUUCAGAGUCAGAACCUCUUCUUCCGCACUCGCGAGCUCGUUUUUUAGCUCAGUAGUUUCUCGUUGGCUCUGAGCAGCUUGCUUCUUUAACUCCACUAUCGUAGCCUCAAGCGAGGCUACGUGCCCUCUUUCACUAGCUAGUUGGCUCUUCAGAUCUUCAGUGUCCUUAACACGGCCAGAACUAGCAGCUUUCAGAUCUUUUCGGAGUGCCAAGAUCUUCGCGACAUAGUCAUCAAUCUCUUUCUGCUUGGACUCAAUAGUUUUGUCCUUCUUGGGCAGAAUGUUGUCGCGAAGGUUCUCC
RNAcentral lists this long non-coding RNA (434 nucleotides) under Zostera marina. Its description in RNAcentral is "long non-coding RNA (ZMAR_LNC002745)". Lineage: Eukaryota; Viridiplantae; Streptophyta; Magnoliopsida; Alismatales; Zosteraceae. The record is from RNAcentral.